UACAGAGGGUGCAAGCGUUGUUCGGAAUUACUGGGCGUAAAGCGCGUGUAGGCGGUCUUCCAAGUCCUGUGUGAAAGCCCUGGGCUCAACCCAGGAAGUGCGCAGGAUACUGGUUGACUGGAGUGGCGGAGAGGAUGGCGGAAUUCCCGGUGUAGAGGUGAAAUUCGUAGAUAUCGGGAGGAACACCUGUGGCGAAGGCGGCCAUCUGGACGUUCACUGACGCUGAGACGCGAAAGCGUGGGUAGCAAACAGGAUUAGAAACCCCCGUAGUCC
This 273-nucleotide ribosomal RNA is filed under the name uncultured bacterium. RNAcentral describes it as "partial 16S ribosomal RNA". It matches the Rfam family "Bacterial small subunit ribosomal RNA", at positions 524 to 796 of the family's 1533-position model. The record is from RNAcentral.